AUUCAUGUACUUAAGAACUGCACAAGAGGUGGCUUUGUCUCCAGAGGCUCACUAGUUAUUAGAGAGAGGAUAUAUGUAUACACACUGCAGGCUAUACACACAUCUGUGGAAGCCAUGCUCAGGAAUGAUAACAACAUAUAAAACACUCAAGUCUUCAUAUACCAUAAGUUAUGACUUCCGAUUAUUUAAAAUCGUGAGAAGAUAACUGGAUAAAGAGAAGUGUCUGGUUCUGCCGUGAGCCCAGUGGAAGGUGGAGGGGACCCUGCCAGGGCACUUCCCUGGGCACCAGCAGCACCUGGACCUUGCUGCUGGAGCCAGCUCUCCUGCCGCUCUCUCACAACCGUGCCCCAAAACAACUGAAUAGUGCCUGUGCCUGCUCCCCAGGAUGGGCAAGGAAAAAGCACCAAGACUGAAACAUGGCUAGGAUUUCACCAAUGUAUGUCUUCAUCGAGAUGAGCAAUCAAGAUCCAAAGUCAAUAAAGAACUUGCUGUUUUUUUCUUUGGACAUUACUGAGCUUUGGAUUUUGUGUAUGUCACCAGAAAAUUAAAUCAACAAAAGCAGUACAGCCUGCAUCAUGUUUUCACACUGUUAAGGAUAUAAAUGACCUCUCUGUAUGAGAAUCACAUGUUAAUACACUUUUUGGUAGUCUAAAUAUCUCCUUUUUUGUCUAAAGCAAAACCAAGUCAACUACAGCAACAGCAAGAAUGAAGUAAAUGAAAUUAAACUGUAAUGACAAUAUUGACCCGUUUGAGUAUUAUUAGAGAAAACCUCCUAGAUCAAUUAAAAAAACACACUUCAGUGCCCCAUACAAAAUGAGGAAAUCAGAUUAUGCCUUGCUCCCUUAAUCUAGCAUCCAAUCUACUUAAAUUUUUUCACUAUGAAAUUUUUCACUAUUUUUCUUCUCUAUCUACCUCUAUGCAAUUCCAACACUGCACUGCACUGGAUUCCUCUUGUCCUCUUAUUCAAGAAUGAAGUAUGCAUACUAGUUUUACAUGAAUAUGUAGAGAUGGCUUGACAAACCGUUUUGGGAUGAACACAGAUGCAGUGCAUAUAUCAUUGUUCUUUACGGUGGAAUUAAUGGUCAUGUCUUUAGAUUUGCUUUAUACAUCCCAAUCUCUGAUGGGAUUAAAUGCCAUUAGGUUUGUUUUCUUACAGCAGAAAUUCUACUUUAAUUAACAGAAAGGUCUGUGGUUGUAUUUCUCAGAGCUUCUCACCCCAGCAGGAUCUUCCUUCUGAAGCACUCAUCAUUUUCACCUGCCUUUCCUUUUCAAAGUUAGCAGCUGUGGUUCUUCUGUACUGAACACUAGUUGGGUACAAGAGCACUGAGGGGUGAGCAAUAACUGCAAUAGCUAGUGCUGAUACGUGGUGUCCAUAUGGACAGUAUAACUUAACAUUAAGACCAUUCUUUACUGAGUUUGAUCCUGGCCCCAUGAGUCAAACUCUAGCUGUCAGGGGACUUGUUGUAAGUAAUGGUCAUUUGUGUUUCAUAAUUAUCUUGAAUAAACACAAUUAGUUCCACAUUCUGCUGUUUUCUUCCUAAGGCAUCUGUAAACAUUCUGUACUAUUUUAGCAAAUGGCUUUUGGCGAUCAUUAAA
Molecule: long non-coding RNA, 1596 nt
Organism: Harpia harpyja (harpy eagle)
Lineage: Eukaryota; Metazoa; Chordata; Aves; Accipitriformes; Accipitridae
Exons: 3
Source: RefSeq, a predicted model, not a curated record